This 759-nucleotide long non-coding RNA is filed under the name Mytilus galloprovincialis (Mediterranean mussel). The record is from RNAcentral. Lineage: Eukaryota; Metazoa; Mollusca; Bivalvia; Mytilida; Mytilidae.
AGGAAAAUUGGGCGUAUGACAUUUGCGCCGAUUUUGAAAAUUUUCAUUCUUUCAUUUGCGCCGAUUUUAUUUUUUCAUUUGCGCCGAUUUUAUAUUUUUUCCUAAUUGGAUUUACAGGUAAGUUACAGGUAAAUUCAUACUUUUACAUUGACUAAUCACAGAGUAUAAAGACAAAUCAAGUGACAUUGCAAUUGGUAAAUGGCUAUCCCAAUGUUUCGGGUUACCAUUCCUUUCCCUAAAUGAAAUCGAUAACUGCUUCACUUUUGACAUUGUCUGACGCUCCUUCUGAUGACAAAUGUCAUAUAUUCUUAGACAACGUUCAAGUACACAUUCCAUAACGGUCAACCAAUUCGUGAUGGCGUCCAUAAAAUUAACGAAGCGAUGAUUUCAACUUCACCAUUUGGAACUCUUGGUUUAAUAGCUUCCUUGCGAGAAAAUGCGAACUCUAGAAAUGCCCCCACCAGUACGUAUGCCAGACAAAGAAAAGAUGUCCUUCGUUAUCGACAAUUACGCCAAAUAUAGAAGAGACGAAAUCAUAAGAAAGGAAUUUAUUAGAUGUGUUGCCUAUACAUACUCGGCAAGAACAGAUUUAUGAUUUGAAUGUAUUCCGUUUUUAUGGAUUUGAAUGCGGUACAUAUAUUUUUAAUUCGUCAUUUUAGUAUAAACAAAGUUCUUUUAUCUUAGGUUUUUAUUUCUUGAUUUUAAGCAGACAAGUUAUAUACAUGUUAUGAUUGACAAUUCAUAACAUAUGCACAACUG